Molecule: ribosomal RNA, 307 nt
Filed under: uncultured bacterium
Lineage: Bacteria
Description: partial 16S ribosomal RNA
Rfam family: Bacterial small subunit ribosomal RNA
Source: RNAcentral
AGACAGCAGUAGCCACGGUAAUACGUAGGUCCCGAGCGUUGUCCGGAUUUAUUGGGCGUAAAGCGAGCGCAGGCGGUUAGAUAAGUCUGAAGUUAAAGGCUGUGGCUUAACCAUAGUACGCUUUGGAAACUGUUUAACUUGAGUGCAAGAGGGGAGAGUGGAAUUCCAUGUGUAGCGGUGAAAUGCGUAGAUAUACGGAGGAACACCGGUGGCGAAAGCGGCUCUCUGGCUUGUAACUGACGCUGAGGCUCGAAAGCGUGGGGAGCAAACAGGAUUAGAGACCCGCGUAGUCCCUGUCUCUUAUACC